AGCGAACGCUGGCGGCAGGCUUAACACAUGCAAGUCGAGCGGGCACUUCGGUGUCAGCGGCAGACGGGUGAGUAACACGUGGGAACGUACCCUUUGGUUCGGAAUAACGCUGGGAAACUAGCGCUAAUACCGGAUACGCCCUUUUGGGGAAAGGCUUGCUGCCGAAGGAUCGGCCCGCGUCUGAUUAGCUAGUUGGUGGGGUAAUGGCCUACCAAGGCGACGAUCAGUAGCUGGUCUGAGAGCAUGAUCAGCCACACUGGAACUGAGACACGGCCCAGACUCCUACGGGAGGCAGCAGUGUGGAAUAUUGGACAAUGGGCGCAAGCCUGAUCCAGCCAUGCCGCGUGAGUGAUGAAGGCCUUAGGGUUGUAAAGCUCUUUUGUCCGGGACGAUAAUGACGGUACCGGAAGAAGAAGCCCCGGCUAACUUCGUG
RNAcentral lists this ribosomal RNA (433 nucleotides) under uncultured bacterium. RNAcentral describes it as "partial 16S ribosomal RNA". It matches the Rfam family "Bacterial small subunit ribosomal RNA", at positions 29 to 507 of the family's 1533-position model. The record is from RNAcentral.